RNAcentral lists this ribosomal RNA (541 nucleotides) under uncultured bacterium. RNAcentral's name for it is "partial 16S ribosomal RNA". It matches the Rfam family "Bacterial small subunit ribosomal RNA", at positions 355 to 888 of the family's 1533-position model. The record is from RNAcentral.
UGGGGAAUUUUGGACAAUGGGCGAAAGCCUGAUCCCAGCAAUGCCGCGUGUGUGAAGAAGGCCUUCGGGUUGUAAAGCACUUUUGUCCGGAAAGAAAUCCUUGGCUCUAAUACAGUCGGGGGAUGACGGUACCGGAAGAAUAAGCACCGGCUAACUACGUGCCAGCAGCCGCGGUAAUACGUAGGGUGCAAGCGUUAAUCGGAAUUACUGGGCGUAAAGCGUGCGCAGGCGGUUUGCUAAGACCGAUGUGAAAUCCCCGGGCUCAACCUGGGAACUGCAUUGGUGACUGGCAGGCUAGAGUAUGGCAGAGGGGGGUAGAAUUCCACGUGUAGCAGUGAAAUGCGUAGAGAUGUGGAGGAAUACCGAUGGCGAAGGCAGCCCCCUGGGCCAAUACUGACGCUCAUGCACGAAAGCGUGGGGAGCAAACAGGAUUAGAUACCCUGGUAGUCCACGCCCUAAACGAUGUCAACUAGUUGUUGGGGAUUCAUUUCCUUAGUAACGUAGCUAACGCGUGAAGUUGACCGCCUGGGGAGUACGGUCG